Molecule: transfer RNA, 53 nt
Filed under: Amblyomma marmoreum
Lineage: Eukaryota; Metazoa; Arthropoda; Arachnida; Ixodida; Ixodidae
Description: tRNA-Cys
Source: RNAcentral
AAAUCUUAAAAAUUAAAUUGCAAAUUUAAAAAUGAAUCUUCUUCUAAGAUUUU